This 473-nucleotide ribosomal RNA is filed under the name uncultured bacterium. Its description in RNAcentral is "SSU rRNA". It matches the Rfam family "Bacterial small subunit ribosomal RNA", at positions 26 to 518 of the family's 1533-position model. The record is from RNAcentral.
AGGAACAACGCUGGCGGCGUGCCUAACGCAUGCAAGUCGGGCGGGGUCGUCUUUCGGGGCGGUUCAGCGGCGGACGGGUGAGGAGCACGUGAUCGACCUGCCCAUGAGUGGGGGCCAACCCCGGGAAACCGGGGCUGUUACCGCAUGCGUCCGGCCCCUGGUGGGGGGGUCGGGGAAAGCCUUUCGGGGGCGCUCAUGGAGGGGAUUGCGUCCGAUUAGCUAGUCGGCGGGGUAACGGCCCACCGAGGUGACGAUCGGUCGCUGGUCUGAGAGGACGACCAGCCACAGGGGGACUGAGACACGGCCCCCACACCUACGGGUGGCAGCAGCGAGGGAUUUUCGGCAAUGGGCGCAAGCCUGACCGAGCAACGCCGCGUGCGGGAUGACGGCCUUCGGGUUGUAACCGCUUUUCCCCGGGGCGAAGAUGACGGUACCGGGGAAUCAGCCUCGGCUAACUACGUGCCAGCAGCCGC